AUGAUUUUUAAAGCGAGUCGAGCGUUUAAGCGAGGCUUGCGAAAAAUAUUUAAAACCCCACUCUUUUUAACUUUUAAAAAAAUAAAUCAUGAUACAUGAAUUUAAAAAAAAGAUC
Molecule: unclassified non-coding RNA, 115 nt
Filed under: soil metagenome
Description: partial internal transcribed spacer 1
Source: RNAcentral